GGGCCCGCACAAGCGGUGGAGCAUGUGGUUUAAUUCGAUGAUACGCGAGGAACCUUACCAGGGCUUAAAUGUAAGUUGCAUAAGCUAGAGAUAGCUUUUUCUUCGGACUACUUACAAGGUGCUGCAUGGUUGUCGUCAGCUCGUGCCGUGAGGUGUCAGGUUAAGUCCUAUAACGAGCGCAACCCCUGUUGUUAGUUGCCAUCGAGUAAUGUCGGGAACUCUAACAAGACUGCCGGUGCAAACCGCGAGGAAGGUGGGGAUGACGUCAAAUCAUCACGGCCCUUACGUCCUGGGCUACACACGUGCUACAAUGGCCGGUACAGAGAGCAGCCACUACGCGAGUAGGAGCGAAUCUAUAAAACCUAUCUCAGUUCGGAUCGGAGUCUGCAACUCGACUCCGUGAAGCUGGAAUC
RNAcentral lists this ribosomal RNA (413 nucleotides) under uncultured bacterium. RNAcentral describes it as "bacterial SSU rRNA". It matches the Rfam family "Bacterial small subunit ribosomal RNA", at positions 917 to 1333 of the family's 1533-position model. The record is from RNAcentral.